GGAGAGAUGUCCGAGUUGGCCGAAGGAGCACGAUUGGAAAUCGUGUAGGCGGCUUAUCCCCGUCUCGAGGGUUCGAAUCCCUCUCUCUCCGCCA
This 94-nucleotide transfer RNA is filed under the name Paenalicyclobacillus curvatus. RNAcentral describes it as "Alicyclobacillus curvatus tRNA-Ser". It matches the Rfam family "tRNA". Rfam says of the family: Transfer RNA (tRNA) molecules are approximately 80 nucleotides in length. Their secondary structure includes four short double-helical elements and three loops (D, anti-codon, and T loops). The record is from RNAcentral. Lineage: Bacteria; Bacillati; Bacillota; Bacilli; Caryophanales; Alicyclobacillaceae. RNAcentral also lists the same sequence under 1 other name.